This is a long non-coding RNA of Melospiza georgiana, 1225 nucleotides long. RefSeq lists it as uncharacterized. The record is from RefSeq and is a predicted model, not a curated record. Lineage: Eukaryota; Metazoa; Chordata; Aves; Passeriformes; Passerellidae. The transcript is spliced from 3 exons.
CAGAAGACACUGCCCCGGGUCAGUCUGCACAUAGCUGACCUUGUGCAUCCAGAGAGCUUGUUCUUUCUUGAUUUGAAAUGAAAUCUCCUUAGGAGCCCAAGAGAGACACUCUGCCUGUCUGGGAGAGGUGGUAAUCAUUCCUACUAGGCCAAUGAAGACUGCCUGCAGACUUUGCUUUAUGUAAUUUGGCCUCCUUAAACUAGCUGAAGAAGCACAUCCUUAACAACUGGUUUCAGUAGUAUACAAGCGAGGAACAGCAACUUUCUUCUGAGGUCUCACAAUAUCCUGGAGGUAUGAUUGAAUAGCAUCAUGGAGUGAUUCUUCCAACCAGCAAGGACAAUACCCUUUUCCUGACCCAGAGAUGCGGCAACUGAGAGGCAUUUUAAAAACUUGUAUUCCGUUUAUUGUCCAGCAAGGACAGCAAUUUGGACUUUGAAGUAAUUUUGCAAGAGGAAACUCAUGACAAUCUUCUAGAGCAAAUGAUUUACUAGAUUCCAGUUCCAGUGAAAAGGAGCAUUAAGAGCAGGGAGUCAACAGCUGGCUUGCUGAAUGGUGGAUAGACCAGUCUUUACACAAAGAAGAUGAUACGCUAUGUCUACAGUUUUCCACACAAAUUUAAAUUAUUUAUGUAAUCCACGAAAGAUUUUACGCCUUCUUCAAGUUCUUAGAAAGAGGUGUCACACAUAAAGCGGAAGAGCUAUCUGCUGUGGGUAUGGAAAUUCCAUUUUCCUGGAUGCACUAUCUGCUUCUGCACAUUUUUGAGACACUUGUAGGGUCAGAACACUGGUUUGCUUUUAAGCACAGCAUGCCACAGUACUUUUACUGGAAAGCUUGUAGAAGAUGGAGGGGGUGGGAAAAUAGUGUGUCAUGAGUGCACAGAAAUGUCUGUUACUGGUUAGUUCUCUUGACUACUUUAGCAACAUGUCAACCUGGAAUCACAAGCUUUCCCUAGAAAGUUGCUGGUUCUGCUUCUGUAACAAACAGAAUCUUGAAAAUAAUGGCCAUGAGUGUAAAAUUCCAAAUUCUACUUGGAAAGAAUCACCAGUGUGACCUUUGCAGAAUCACCUUUGAAAAAAUUCUGCAUCAAAAGCAGCCUUUACUUUAAACUGGCAAUACUGAAGUUACCACUGGCUACAGUUUCUUAAUGCUUUCUGUAAAUGCUUCAAUGUCUAGCCUGUCCAACUUCAAAUUAACAGUGCAUGACUUAUACUUCUAGGGGGAAAUG